GGGGAAUUUUUCGCAAUGGGGGAAACCCUGACGAAGCAACGCCGCGUGGAGGAUGAAGGCCUUCGGGUCGUAAACUCCUGUCGACCGGGACGAAAGUAGUCCGACCCAAUACGUCGGGCUAUCGACUGUACCGGUGGAGUAAGCCACGGCUAACUCUGUGCCAGCAGCCGCGGUAAUACAGAGGUGGCAAGCGUUGUUCGGAAUUACUGGGCGUAAAGCGCACGCAGGCGGCUGCGCAAGUCUGACGUGAAAUCUCUCGGCUUAACCGGGAGCGGUCGUUGGAAACUAUGCGGCUUGAGGCGAUGAGAGGGGUGUGGAAUUCCCGGUGUAGUGGUGGAAUGCGUAGAUAUCGGGAGGAACAUCAGUGGCGAAAGCGGCACCCUGGCAUUAGCCUGACGCUCAGGUGCGAAAGCGUGGGGAGCGAA
RNAcentral lists this ribosomal RNA (425 nucleotides) under uncultured bacterium. Its description in RNAcentral is "bacterial SSU rRNA". It matches the Rfam family "Bacterial small subunit ribosomal RNA", at positions 356 to 772 of the family's 1533-position model. The record is from RNAcentral.